CAGAGGGGGCAAGCGUUAUUCGGAAUUAUUGGGCGUAAAGGGCGCGUAGGCGGCCUGGCAAGUGGAAGGUGAAAUCCCUCGGCUUAACCGAGGAACUGCCUUCCAGACUGCUUGGCUUGAGACCAGGAGAGGUGAGUGGAAUUCCCAGUGUAGCGGUGAAAUGCGUAGAUAUUGGGAGGAACACCAGUGGCGAAGGCGGCUCACUGGACUGGUACCGACGCUGAGGCGCGAAAGCGUGGGGAGCAAACGGGAUUAGAUACCCCGGUAGUCCACGCCGUAAACGAUGAGUGCUUGGUGUAGCGGGUAUCGACCCCUGCUGUGCCGAAGUCAACACAUUAAGCACUCCGCCUGGGGAGUACGGUCGCAAGGCUG
This 372-nucleotide ribosomal RNA is filed under the name uncultured organism. RNAcentral's name for it is "bacterial SSU rRNA". It matches the Rfam family "Bacterial small subunit ribosomal RNA", at positions 526 to 896 of the family's 1533-position model. The record is from RNAcentral.